Long non-coding RNA from Erinaceus europaeus (western European hedgehog), 1115 nucleotides. RefSeq lists it as uncharacterized. NCBI's taxonomy places the organism in Eukaryota, Metazoa, Chordata, Mammalia, Eulipotyphla, Erinaceidae. The record is from RefSeq and is a predicted model, not a curated record. The transcript is spliced from 2 exons.
UCCUAACCCUCUGCUCCACUGGCUGUGCUUUUACGAGCUGGAGCUUUGGAGGGUCUGGGGAGCAUCUUGGGUAGGGGGGAGAUGAUGCUAGUGGCAGGUUGCUCCCGCGCCCCCUCCAACUGCAGCUCAGUUGAGAGAGAGAGAGAGAGAGAGAGUCUGUGCUAGCCAUGGCUUUGCUACCUACUGUAUUUAUUCUCAGGUCCUUUUUUUGUAUCCCGAGACCGCACAAAUGGUCGCCUGAUCGAUCGGAAAUAGGAGGGAAAGGUAGAGUGGAAAUUGAUUUUUUUUUUUUUUUUUGCGGAGACUGAGGCGCCGAAUCAUAGAGGGAAUAAACGUUUAGCCCGGAUAAAAAUAUUCUUGGUAAGUAGUCUUUCUUUUCCGUGGUUGGAAAGGACACGCUGCUCCCAUCCCCCAUCCCAUUCAUUUAUUUGCUCUCUGCAUGUAAAUCACGAGCUAGGUUAGUGGAAAAAUUCUUUUCCUCUUUGCUAGGAGAGUAGUACCACGUAGGGGUGAAUUUGAAGUAGGGAGCAUGAUGAAGACAAGUCUGGAGACUUUAAGGUUUUUCAUUUCCUGCAUUCAAAACCCAAACACAGGCAAAGAUGCUAAAUGCUGUUUGCUUGCUAAAUGGGGUGUUUAAAUACCAUUUUCAUUUCUUACCGACUCUCCUUUUGAAAAUGAAAUAGUUUCUGGUAGUAGCUCCAUGACUAUGCUUUUCAUGUACCUUGGUCAUGUUCUAAAAAUAAGCAUUGUUCACAUUUUGCCAGGAAUUUGAAAACUACGCAUAUUUUUUUCCUGGUUUUAGUGUAGUGGCUGUGUGUGUGUGUGUGUGUGUGUGUGUGUGUGUGAGAGAGAGAGAGAGAGAGAGAGAGAGAGAAAGAGAUUGGGAGAGAGAGAAAGUUAUUUGCAGGGUUUUUUUUUUUUUUUGGUGAUGCCUGUAAAUUCAGGAAGCUCUUUGGUUUUUCAUGAGUCAAUAGCACCCCCAUCCUGCACAAGCUCAUUAUGUGAAGAACAAGAAGGUGUGAGAGAGGGAAGGAGCCAAGCAGCUCUAGAUAGUGAUUAUCUCAUGUGUCACUAAGUGUGCAGAAUAAUAAAUCUUGUGAUUGUGUGAACUUGGA